This 1109-nucleotide ribosomal RNA is filed under the name uncultured Basidiomycota. RNAcentral's name for it is "eukaryotic LSU rRNA". The stretch from base 673 to 1109 matches the Rfam family "Eukaryotic large subunit ribosomal RNA", at positions 1 to 429 of the family's 3401-position model. Lineage: Eukaryota; Fungi; Basidiomycota. The record is from RNAcentral.
CUUGGUCAUUUAGAGGAAGUAAAAGUCGUAACAAGGUUUCCGUAGGUGAACCUGCGGAAGGAUCAUUAUUGAAUACGAUUGGUACUGAUGCUGGCUCUUCACUGGGCAUGUGCUCGUCCAUCUAUUUAUCUUCUCUUGUGCACAUCUUGUAGUCUUGAAUGAAACCUCUCGCAGUCAAUGCGGUUUGGGAGACUGGGUGUAAAAGCCCUUUUCCUGCUUCUUCAAGGCUAUGUUUUCAUAUACACUAUAAAGUUACAGAAUGUCUUUUAACGAUUGUGCUUGUCACAGUCAUUAAACCUAUACAACUUUCAGCAACGGAUCUCUUGGCUCUCCUAUCGAUGAAGAACGCAGCGAAAUGCGAUAAGUAAUGUGAAUUGCAGAAUUCAGUGAAUCAUCGAAUCUUUGAACGCACCUUGCGCCCUUUGGUAUUCCGAAGGGCAUGCCUGUUUGAGUGUCAUUAAAUUAUCAACCUUGCUCGCUUUUACCGGCUUGAGUGAGGCUUGGAUGUGAGGGCUUUGCUGGCUUCCUUCAAUGGAUGGUCUGCUCCCUUUAAAUGCAUUAGUGGGAUCCUUUGUGGACCGUCACUUGGUGUGAUAAUUAUCUAUGCCAUAUGACUUUGAAGCAAGCUUAUAGGAAUCCGCUCAUAACCGUCUUUGGACAAUUUUGACAUUUUGACCUCAAAUCAGGUAGGACUACCCGCUGAACUUAAGCAUAUCAAUAAGCGGAGGAAAAGAAACUAACAAGGAUUCCCCUAGUAACUGCGAGUGAAGCGGGAAAAGCUCAAAUUUAAAAUCUGGCGGUUCUUGUAGCCGUCCGAGUUGUAAUUUAGAGAAGUGUUAUCCGCGCUGGACCGUGUACAAGUCUCCUGGAAUGGAGCGUCAUAGAGGGUGAGAAUCCCGUCUUUGACACGGACUGCCAGGGCAUUGUGAUGCGCUCUCAAAGAGUCGAGUUGUUUGGGAAUGCAGCUCAAAAUGGGUGGUAAAUUCCAUCUAAAGCUAAAUAUUGGGGAGAGACCGAUAGCGAACAAGUACCGUGAGGGAAAGAUGAAAAGAACUUUGGAAAGAGAGUUAAACAGUACGUGAAAUUGCUGAAAGGGAAACGCUUGAAGU